GUCUCUGUAGUGGUUAGUACUCUCGCUUGUGGAGCGGCCUAACGUUAACGCGAGCGACGUCGGUUCGAUUCCGGCCGGGGACA
Molecule: non-coding RNA, 83 nt
Organism: Mycena filopes
Lineage: Eukaryota; Fungi; Basidiomycota; Agaricomycetes; Agaricales; Mycenaceae
Source: the annotation of a GenBank genome assembly